UGUCAUCCCGUUACGUAGGGAGGGGUCCGUAGCCAUUUUGGCUCAAGGGU
Molecule: non-coding RNA, 50 nt
Filed under: Prorocentrum micans
Lineage: Eukaryota; Dinophyceae; Prorocentrales; Prorocentraceae
Source: RNAcentral